This 23-nucleotide microRNA is filed under the name Columba livia (rock pigeon). RNAcentral's name for it is "Cli-Mir-1677-P6_5p* (star (passenger))". The record is from RNAcentral. Lineage: Eukaryota; Metazoa; Chordata; Aves; Columbiformes; Columbidae.
ACCUGCUCUCAUUUAAGUCAAUG